UGGGGAAUUUUGGACAAUGGGCGAAAGCCUGAUCCAGCAAUGCCGCGUGUGUGAAGAAGGCCUUCGGGUUGUAAAGCACUUUUGUCCGGAAAGAAAUCCUUGGCUCUAAUACAGUCGGGGGAUGACGGUACCGGAAGAAUAAGCACCGGCUAACUACGUGCCAGCAGCCGCGGUAAUACGUAGGGUGCAAGCGUUAAUCGGAAUUACUGGGCGUAAAGCGUGCGCAGGCGGUUUGCUAAGACCGAUGUGAAAUCCCCGGGCUCAACCUGGGAACUGCAUUGGUGACUGGCAGGCUAGAGUAUGGCAGAGGGGGGUAGAAUUCCACGUGUAGCAGUGAAAUGCGUAGAGAUGUGGAGGAAUACCGAUGGCGAAGGCAGCCCCCUGGGCCAAUACUGACGCUCAUGCACGAAAGCGUGGGGAGCAAACAGGAUUAGAUACCCUGGUAGUCCACGCCCUAAACGAUGUCAACUAGUUGUUGGGGAUUCAUUUCCUUAGUAACGUAGCUAACGCGUGAAGUUGACCGCCUGGGGAGUACGGUCGCAAGAUUAAAACUUAAAUGAAUUGACGGGGUCAUAGCUUUUUCC
Molecule: ribosomal RNA, 584 nt
Filed under: uncultured bacterium
Lineage: Bacteria
Description: partial 16S ribosomal RNA
Rfam family: Bacterial small subunit ribosomal RNA
Source: RNAcentral